UACGUAGGGUGCAAGCGUUGUCCGGAAUUAUUGGGCGUAAAGAGCUCGUAGGCGGUUUGUUGCGUCGGCUGUGAAAUCCCGAGGCUCAACCUCGGGUCUGCAGUCGAUACGAGCAAACUAGAGUGUUGCAGGGGAGACUGGAAUUCCUGGUGUAGCGGUGGAAUGCGCAGAUAUCAGGAGGAACACCGGUGGCGAAGGCGGGUCUCUGGGCAACAACUGACGCUGAGGAGCGAAAGCGCGGGGAGCGAACAGG
Molecule: ribosomal RNA, 253 nt
Filed under: uncultured bacterium
Lineage: Bacteria
Description: partial 16S ribosomal RNA
Rfam family: Bacterial small subunit ribosomal RNA
Source: RNAcentral